ACGUCCCUCUCGCAGGGUUCCAACAACGCCCUGCCGUCCAUGUGAGCAAAAUGGCGACGCAGGCGGCCGCUGCGCUCCUCGAUGAGCUCAUGGGAAGGGCGAGAAAUGUGCUUCCCGAGGAGAGAAAUCAAAAUGUGCACUGGGAUUCACCCGAGGUGUGUCGUCACUACCUGGUGAAGUUUUGUCCACAUGACCUCUUUACAAAUACAAAAUCUGAUCUUGGACCAUGUGACAAGCCUGUCCAUGAUGAGGAAUUAAAAAGGGAAUUUGAAGCUGCCAAUUCCUAUCGCCGCACUGCCUUUGAAGAUGAAUUUGUUAGAUAUGCAGAGUCCAUGCUUACAGAAGUAGACAAAAGAAUAAGAAAAGGAAAACAGCGGUUAUCAUUGUCAGUUAAAGAUGCCUUGGCCAGUAGCACAACAGGUGACGGGCGAGUAGAUGAGCAGCUGGAACUCCUCUCCGAAAGAAUUACAGGUUUAGUAAGUGAAGCCGAAAGACUAGGUUCAGAAGGAAAUGUUGAAGAGGCCCAAGGUCUCCUUAAACUUUGUGAUCAACUACGAGAAGAGAGAGACUCGCUACGCAGAAGUAAUGAAAAUUCUGUAUGGCAUCAGGCUGCGGAGAUGGCGGCAUCACAAGAAAAGCAGAUGGAGGUGUGUGAAGUAUGUGGUGCUUUCCUGAUUGUGGGUGAUGCGCAACAACGAAUUGAUGACCACUUAACAGGAAAGCAGCAUGUGGGUUUUGCAAAGCUACGUCAGGCCAUUCAGGAAAUUAGAGAUAGUCGUGAAAAGGCAAGAGCAGAGAGAGAAAGUCAGAGAGAAAAGGAGAGAGAAGAAAGACGCAAAGCCUUACAAGAAGAAGAAAAGCGUAGAGAGAAAGAAAGAGAAGAGAGGAGGAGAAAAGAUGAAGACCGCAGACGUAGAAGUAGUGACAGAGAUCGAGAUCGUGAGCGUGCAGAGAGAAGUAGAGACAGAGACCGUGACAGAAUGAGGGACAGAGAUUAUCGUGACAGGAGACGAUCACGCAGCCGAGACCGCGAGAGGAGACGGUCUCGCAGCAGAGACAGGGAUUAUAGAAGUUCACAUUCAAAAGACAGAGAUAGGAGAGAGAAAGACCGAGACAGGCAUCACCGUUCGCGAAGUCGCGAGCAUGACAGAAGGAGACACAGGGAAGAAAAUGGCGAUCUGUACCACCGUGAAUACUGAUGAGUGACAGGGCAAUUGUGAAGGAGGAGCCAAGAGGGAGAUGUGGAGAAUAGAGUCCGAUGAGCGGGAAAUGAAGGCUUAACCAGUGAGUGAUCUCCACUUGAGGGUAACAUCUGGCAAGAGAAAAGAAGACCUUUUCAAUCUACUACAGCAGUUGAGAGCGUCAGCACUUCAGUCGAGCCACAGACGAUGCAUGUUGAGAGAUGCAGAAGUACUGAAGGACACUGCAGCCUCCACUUUGUGUUAGCCAGGUGACCCCCCUCAUUUCACACUCCCUUCUCUGCCUCCCCCACUUGGCCUCUUCCCAGCCCUACCCAGUAUGACAUCCCAAAAGGGCAUUCAAUGGUUCCACAGACUGACUUCACAAGAUUUUUUUUUUUUUUUUUUAUACAUUUUUAAUUUACUUUUUUUUUAUUAUUAUUAUAUUAUUAUUAUUUUUUUUUUUUCCCUCUACCUUUUAAAAAUUUUCUAUCGUUACUUUUUUUCCCCCUUAUAGGUUUCACUGUAUAGGUAUUAGGUAGAACAAUGUUCUGUAUUAAACUUUGUUUGACUGUAAAAUAUCUCUGUAUAUAGUUUGGAUACUGUCAACACGACAUGUACUUUUGAAGUGUAAUGUAAGGGUGUUAAAACAUCACUUGUAUGCAUCUUAGUUUAGGUGUGAUAACAACCUCUUCAAACAGAGUUGUGAUGCUGUUUAAGGAAGUUCGUUGGUUGUCCGGUCACAUUCCAUCAAGUAUCUCAUCUCUCCACUCUAUUAAGGUGAGAUAUUGUGAAUUGUGUCAAUAAAUGUGUAAAACUUA
RNAcentral lists this unclassified non-coding RNA (1999 nucleotides) under Penaeus chinensis. RNAcentral's name for it is "luc7-like protein 3, transcript variant X1". Lineage: Eukaryota; Metazoa; Arthropoda; Malacostraca; Decapoda; Penaeidae. The record is from RNAcentral.